UGGGGAAUUUUGCACAAUGGGGGAAACCCUGAUGCAGCGACGCCGCGUGAUUUAGAAGGCCUUCGGGUUGUAAAAAUCUUUUCUAUGGGAAGAAAAUGACAGUACCAUAGGAAUAAGGACCGGCUAAUUACGUGCCAGCAGCCGCGGUAAUACGUAAGGUCCGAGCGUUGUCCGGAAUCAUUGGGCGUAAAGGGUACGUAGGCGGGUAAGCAAGUUAGAAGUGAAAUCCUAUAGCUCAACCAUAGUAAGCUUUUAAAACUGCUCAUUUUUGAGUAUGGAAGGGAAAGUGGAAUUCCUAGUGUAGCGGUGAAAUGCGCAGAUAUUAGGAGGAAUACCGGUGGCGAAGGCGACUUUCUGGCCAUAACCUGACGCUGAGGUACGAAAGCGUGGGUAGCAAACAGG
This 402-nucleotide ribosomal RNA is filed under the name bacterium. RNAcentral's name for it is "partial 16S ribosomal RNA". It matches the Rfam family "Bacterial small subunit ribosomal RNA", at positions 355 to 776 of the family's 1533-position model. The record is from RNAcentral.